RNAcentral lists this ribosomal RNA (714 nucleotides) under Triticum aestivum (bread wheat). Its description in RNAcentral is "partial small subunit ribosomal RNA". Lineage: Eukaryota; Viridiplantae; Streptophyta; Magnoliopsida; Poales; Poaceae. The record is from RNAcentral.
AUGAAGAAGGUUUCUUCUUUAUUAAGUAAGGGCUCUGUUGGGGUUAAUAUAAACAAUACCAACAGUAAUUUCUUUUUAACUAGCAAGGGAGUCAGGCAGGGGGACCCUUAUUCCCCUCUAUUGUUCAAUUUAGUAGCUGAUGUCUUUACCAAAGUUCUUGCUAAGGCUGCUAGCUGUAACAUCCUAGAAGGACUGUUCCCUAGCUCCAACCCAGCUGGUGUCACCAGCAUGCAGUAUGCUGAUGAUACUUUGCUUUUCCUGAGUAAUAACUCUGCUCAAGCCAAAAACCUUAAAUGGUUACUAUCUUGCUUUGAACAAAUUUCUGGGAUGCGCAUUAACUUUCAUAAAUGCGAAUUGGUCCCCAUUAAUGUAGAUAGGGAGGAAGCAAACAUAUUUUCUCAAAUCCUUGGUUGUAGAAUUAGUGAUUUUCCCAUAAAAUAUUUAGGAGCUCCUCUUCACCACAGAAAGCUGAAGAAAUGUGAGCUUCAGCCUACUGUGGACAAGAUCAUUAAAAAAGGAGCUGGUUGGAGAGGCAGACUCCUGUCCUCUGGCAAGAGGCUCACAUUAGUGAAAACUUGCCUGGCCACCAUUCCUAGUUACCUGAUGGGUAUUUUCAAAUUCCCCAAGUGGGCCAUCCAGUUGAUUAAUUCUCAACUGGCUCACUGUUUCUGGGACAACUAUAAGGGGCAUCACAAAUAUCACCUGGCUUCCUAG